AUUGAACGCUGGCGGCAGGCCUAACACAUGCAAGUCGAGCGGAUGAGGUGAGCUUGCUCCCUGAUUUAGCGGCGGACGGGUGAGUAAUGCCUAGGAAUCUGCCUUGUAGUGGGGGAUAACGUUCCGAAAGGAACGCUAAUACCGCAUACGUCCUACGGGAGAAAGCAGGGGACCUUCGGGCCUUGCGCUAUCAGAUGAGCCUAGGUCGGAUUAGCUAGUUGGUGAGGUAAUGGCUCACCAAGGCGACGAUCCGUAACUGGUCUGAGAGGAUGAUCAGUCACACUGGAACUGAGACACGGUCCAGACUCCUACGGGAGGCAGCAGUGGGGAAUAUUGGACAAUGGGCGAAAGCCUGAUCCAGCCAUGCCGCGUGUGUGAAGAAGGUCUUCGGAUUGUAAAGCACUUUAAGUUGGGAGGAAGGGCUGCUGGUUAAUACCCUGCAGUUUUGACGUUACCAACAGAAUAAGCACCGGCUAACUUCGUG
This 484-nucleotide ribosomal RNA is filed under the name uncultured bacterium. Its description in RNAcentral is "partial 16S ribosomal RNA". It matches the Rfam family "Bacterial small subunit ribosomal RNA", at positions 30 to 507 of the family's 1533-position model. The record is from RNAcentral.